Capsicum annuum is the source of this 423-nucleotide long non-coding RNA. RefSeq lists it as uncharacterized. The transcript has 2 exons. Lineage: Eukaryota; Viridiplantae; Streptophyta; Magnoliopsida; Solanales; Solanaceae. The record is from RefSeq and is a predicted model, not a curated record.
AAGGUAUGGUAUGAUGCUGUGGGUGGUGAUGCUCUUGGUCUUACGUUAGGAAAAGCAAGUUCAAAGAAACGGAAGCAUGAUGGCUCCACGGAAGAGAGCAAGGAUCUUUCGAAUAUGCUAAAAACCAUCGGCGAGGUUGGGAAGGGCCUUGUGAGAAGUAUUCAUGUUAUCAAGGCCCAAAAACGUAAUAAUUAAAAUGUUCAAAAAGAUGUUGCAGCGUUGGUGUAACAACUAAUGUACACUAUGCAUAUUGUCAUCAAGAGGUACUGUUGGGUGGCAUGGAGCUCUUCAAAUUUUGCAGCACAACCUUUUUGUAUAUGUGUAGUUCUCUAGUCGAAGAGCCAACAAUCACCGGUAUUUGUAUUGAGAAAUUCAUUUUAUUAGUCGAGAAAAUAUAAAAAUAUCAGUGCGUUCAUUAUCUUC